CCUACGGGUGGCAGCAGUGAGGGAUAUUGGUCAAUGGGGGAAACUCUGAACCAGCAACGCCGCGUGAGGGAUGACGGUCUUCGGAUUGUAAACCUCUGUCCUCUGGGAAGAAAAUGAUGGUAGCAGAGGAGUAUGCUACGGCUAAUUACGUCCCGGCAGCCGCGGUAAUACGCCGGGAGCGAGCGUUGUCCGGAGUUACGGGGUGUAAAGGGUGCGUAGGCGGGCUGGCAAGUCAGUAGUGAAAUCUAUGGGCUUAACCCAUAAACUGCUUUUGAAACUGUAAGUCUUGAGUGCAGUAGAGGUAGGCGGAAUUCGUGGUGUAGCGGUGAAAUGCGUAGAGAUCAGGAGGAACACCGAUGGCGAAGGCAGCUUACUGGGCUUUAACUGACGCUGAGGCACGAAAGCGUGGGUAGCAAACAGGAUUAGAUACCCCAGUAGUC
RNAcentral lists this ribosomal RNA (440 nucleotides) under uncultured bacterium. RNAcentral's name for it is "partial 16S ribosomal RNA". It matches the Rfam family "Bacterial small subunit ribosomal RNA", at positions 338 to 795 of the family's 1533-position model. The record is from RNAcentral.